Nannospalax galili (Upper Galilee mountains blind mole rat) is the source of this 571-nucleotide long non-coding RNA. RefSeq lists it as uncharacterized. The record is from RefSeq and is a predicted model, not a curated record. NCBI's taxonomy places the organism in Eukaryota, Metazoa, Chordata, Mammalia, Rodentia, Spalacidae. The transcript has 3 exons.
CCUGUAAGAGCUCCUGAUUGGUUUCCCAAACCAUCCAAAAUGAAGAAAACCAUAGCUGGCAUGGACAGAAACAAUUCAAGGAAGAGAUUCUCCUGGAAGUCACAGAGAUGGCGGUCUGUGCGGGCAGAACGCAGGGCAUGAAGAUCCAAGAGGGCCUGGCUUCAGGCUCUUCUCCAGGGCCAAGGCGGCUUCCACGGUCUCCUGGGUUUUACCCCACUCAUCCUUUGCUGGUUUCUGCACAUCUCGGAAGAACGUAUGACUGAGGCGCUGGUUCUGCAACUUGAGCAGGUCCCGAUGUCCACAUCCUUGGCUUUUAUCAAUGUAUGUUUUCAAGGAAAACACUUCAAAGGCAAGAAGCUCAGAAGGAGAGCACUGGUUCCUCCAGAUAAGGAUGACAAGCUACUGAAACCAGGCCCAGCAACAGCACCCUUCAGCAUCAGCAUCAGCAUCAGCACCAACACCCUGCAUCACUAGCACUAGCAUCCGCAUCCGCAUCAGCACCAGCACCAGCACCCUGCAUCACUAGCACCAGCACCAGCACCCGCCAGUACCAGUACCAUCAGCAUAACUG